RNAcentral lists this ribosomal RNA (468 nucleotides) under uncultured bacterium. RNAcentral describes it as "partial 16S ribosomal RNA". It matches the Rfam family "Bacterial small subunit ribosomal RNA", at positions 28 to 507 of the family's 1533-position model. The record is from RNAcentral.
GACGAACGCUGGCGGCGUGCUUAACACAUGCAAGUCGAACGGAAAGGCCCUGCUUUUGUGGGGUGCUCGAGUGGCGAACGGGUGAGUAACACGUGAGUAACCUGCCCUUGACUUUGGGAUAACUUCAGGAAACUGGGGCUAAUACCGGAUAGGAGCUCCUGCUGCAUGGUGGGGGUUGGAAAGUUUCGGCGGUUGGGGAUGGACUCGCGGCUUAUCAGCUUGUUGGUGGGGUAGUGGCUUACCAAGGCUUUGACGGGUAGCCGGCCUGAGAGGGUGAACGGCCACAUUGGGACUGAGAUACGGCCCAGACUCCUACGGGAGGCAGCAGUGGGGAAUAUUGCACAAUGGGCGGAAGCCCGAUGCAGCAACGCCGCGUGCGGGAUGACGGCCUUCGGGUUGUAAACCGCUUUCGCCUGUGACGAAGCGUGAGUGACGGUAAUGGGUAAAGAAGCACCGGCUAACUACGUG